GUACACGCUGUGACUAGCAUAUCAAUAAGCGGAGGAAAAGAAACUAACAAGGAUUCCCUUAGUAACGGCGAGUGAAGCGGGAAGAGCUCAAAUUUGAAAUCUUCAAGGUUUUACCUUGACGAAUUGUAGUUUAAAGAAGUGUUUUCUGCUGAAGUUUUGGUAAAAGUUCUUUGGAAUAGGACAUCAUAGAGGGUGAGAAUCCCGUAUUUGACCAUUAUUUUCAGCUUUGUGAUACACUUUCAAAGAGUCGGAUUGUUUGGGAAUGCAGUCCAAAAUGGGUGGUAAAUUUCAUCUAAAGCUAAAUAUUGGCGAGAGACCGAUAGCGAACAAGUACCGUGAGGGAAAGAUGAAAAGAACUUUGAAAAGGAGAGUUAAACAGUACGUGAAAUUGUCAAAAGGGAAGCGUUUGACACCAGUGUUGUUUUCUCGAAAAUCAAUUAAAAAUGGCUCGAUUUUGUAUUGCUGAGACCUUAAAAGCUCACUGUACAUUUUUCGUGUCUUUUUUAAUGCACUUUUCAUUUAACAAGUCAACAUCAGUUUCUUUUGUUGUAAAAGGGUCAUUGGAAGGUGGCUUUCCUUUUCGGAGAAAGUGUUUAUAGCCUUUGGCCUCUGCAAUCGGAGAGACUGAGGUCUGCAGCGUAGACUCUUCGGGGUUAGAUACAUUUGUGCUAAGUUAUAGCUUUUUAUAGACAACUUGUUGACUAUAAUUAGUCUUGUAGCUUACUCGCUUAUGCUAUUUUACCUACGCUUAGGAUGUUGAUCUACAGAGCGAGAGU
This 776-nucleotide ribosomal RNA is filed under the name uncultured Neocallimastigales. Its description in RNAcentral is "partial large subunit ribosomal RNA". It matches the Rfam family "Eukaryotic large subunit ribosomal RNA", at positions 22 to 635 of the family's 3401-position model. The record is from RNAcentral. Lineage: Eukaryota; Fungi; Neocallimastigomycota; Neocallimastigomycetes; Neocallimastigales.